This is a long non-coding RNA of Gasterosteus aculeatus aculeatus (three-spined stickleback), 645 nucleotides long. NCBI's taxonomy places the organism in Eukaryota, Metazoa, Chordata, Actinopteri, Perciformes, Gasterosteidae. The record is from Ensembl.
GGGAAGAGGGCAGUAAAACUGAGACCUGUGAGCAGAGGAGUACACGAGGUUUCAAAGUAAAGCCCGACUGCAUGUGUGUACCAGGUAAGAAAUACAGUAAAAACUACCCAAAAGAAAACAACCCUACACUGAAAGCCGCAGCACUCUGCUGCAUCGCUGCGCCCCAGCUGGAGGACAGAGUCCUGCAAAGCCGUCCUCCCCUGCGCCUGUCUGAACAGACCUCGAGGCUUUUCCUCACCUCGGUGCCAAGCCGCAUUAGUCAGUCAGCGGUGAGCGAUCCAUCACAUUGCUGUGUGUGUGUGUGUGUGUGUACUUGGCCCUUUCUCAUUGGACUUUGUGCCGUGGAAGUUGCCCGUGCAAAGCAGCGCGCGUCACGCUUAUGUCUUGAGCCACGUCGAUACAACACUGGGGCCUCUCCAGAGCACCGGCCGCCUGGCAGUCAUUGUGAAAUGUCAAAGGUGUUUUGGACAACUUGUGUGAAAGUUUUUUUUUUUUUAACCGACUUCACAGACCCGGAGCCUCGAGGACGACACCUUCAGCUUAAUGACCCGUCACGCAUGCUGAAGCAAGUAUUUGCUGACAUUUUCAGACGUUAAGAAAAUGGCGAACACAGGGAAUACAUUACCAGGUUGGCGUGAACUGACG